RNAcentral lists this microRNA precursor (87 nucleotides) under Solanum tuberosum (potato). Its description in RNAcentral is "MIR8024 microRNA precursor family". It matches the Rfam family "MIR8024 microRNA precursor family". The record is from Rfam by way of RNAcentral. Lineage: Eukaryota; Viridiplantae; Streptophyta; Magnoliopsida; Solanales; Solanaceae.
UUGGAGGAUUUGAAGACUUCAACUUGCAUUGACGAAACAAUUUGAAGACUUCAACUUGCAUAUUUGGUGGAUCUAAAAACUUUAACU